Notolabrus celidotus (New Zealand spotty) is the source of this 210-nucleotide long non-coding RNA. RefSeq lists it as uncharacterized. The record is from RefSeq and is a predicted model, not a curated record. Lineage: Eukaryota; Metazoa; Chordata; Actinopteri; Labriformes; Labridae. The transcript is spliced from 3 exons.
CACAGAGCCGGCAGACGUGAGAUACGUCCGGUGUUGUGCCUGUUCGGCGCGGAGAGUGGUGUCGGGUUUCCGAAGCAGUGUGGUUUGACGGGAGCUGAGCUGUUCUGCGGAGUCUGGGUGCGCAGUGUGUUUUCCUGCGGCCAUCACUCGCCGAGCCUGGGCUGCGUACUUCCUCCUGCUGGCGCCAACAUACAGUUGCCCUGCUCUCCG